GAUGAACGCUAGCUACAGGCUUAACACAUGCAAGUCGAGGGGCAGCGGGAUUGAAGCUUGCUUCAAUUGCCGGCGACCGGCGCACGGGUGAGUAACGCGUAUCCAACCUUCCGUACACUCAGGGAUAGCCUUUCGAAAGAAAGAUUAAUACCUGAUGGUAUGAUGAGAUUGCAUGAUAUCAUCAUUAAAGAUUUAUCGGUGUACGAUGGGGAUGCGUUCCAUUAGGUAGUAGGCGGGGUAACGGCCCACCUAGCCAACGAUGGAUAGGGGUUCUGAGAGGAAGGUCCCCAACAUUGGAACUGAGACACGGUCCAAACUCCUACGGGAGGCAGCAGUGAGGAAUAUUGGUCAAUGGACGAGAGUCUGAACCAGCCAAGUAGCGUGAAGGAUGAAGGUCCUACGGAUUGUAAACUUCUUUUAUAAGGGAAUAAACCCUCCCACGUGUGGGAGCUUGUAUGUACCUUAUGAAUAAGCAUCGGCUAACUCCGUG
Molecule: ribosomal RNA, 490 nt
Filed under: uncultured bacterium
Lineage: Bacteria
Description: partial 16S ribosomal RNA
Rfam family: Bacterial small subunit ribosomal RNA
Source: RNAcentral